CCUACGGGCGGCAGCAGUGAGGAAUAUUGGUCAAUGGGCGCGAGCCUGAACCAGCCAAGUAGCGUGAAGGAUGACUGCCCUACGGGUUGUAAACUUCUUUUAUCAAGGAAUAAAGUGAGGCACGUGUGCCUUUUUGUAUGUACUUUAUGAAUAAGGAUCGGCUAACUCCGUGCCAGCAGCCGCGGUAAUACGGAGGAUCCGAGCGUUAUCCGGAUUUAUUGGGUUUAAAGGGAGCGUAGGUGGGUUGUUAAGUCAGUUGUGAAAGGUUGGGGCUCAACCGUAAAAUUGCAAUUGAUACUGGCAGUCUUGAGUAGAGUGGAGGUAGGCGGAAUUCGUGGUGUAGCGGUGAAAUGCUUAGAUAUCACGCAGAACUCCGAUUGCGAAGGCAGCUUACUAAACUGCCACUGACAUUGAGGCACGAAAGUGUGGGUAUCAAACAGGAUUAGAUACCCGAGUAGUC
RNAcentral lists this ribosomal RNA (460 nucleotides) under uncultured bacterium. RNAcentral's name for it is "partial 16S ribosomal RNA". It matches the Rfam family "Bacterial small subunit ribosomal RNA", at positions 338 to 795 of the family's 1533-position model. The record is from RNAcentral.